UGAGUUCUCCCUGAGACUUAGAGUCUCCUGAAGGAACGUUGAAGACGACGACGUUGAUAGGCCGGGUGUGUAAGCGCAGCGAUGCGUUGAGCUAACCGGUACUAAUGAACCGUGAGGCUUAACCCUACAACGCCGAAG
This 138-nucleotide ribosomal RNA is filed under the name Salmonella enterica subsp. enterica serovar Dublin. RNAcentral describes it as "partial 23S ribosomal RNA". It matches the Rfam family "Bacterial large subunit ribosomal RNA", at positions 2805 to 2925 of the family's 2925-position model. The record is from RNAcentral. Lineage: Bacteria; Pseudomonadati; Pseudomonadota; Gammaproteobacteria; Enterobacterales; Enterobacteriaceae.